This 1473-nucleotide long non-coding RNA is filed under the name Neogale vison (American mink). Its description in RNAcentral is "Neovison vison (American mink) lncRNA (ENSNVIG00000016196.1)". Lineage: Eukaryota; Metazoa; Chordata; Mammalia; Carnivora; Mustelidae. The record is from RNAcentral.
UCCAUACUCCUCCUCCCACCCCAUUCACUGGAGAGCAGGUUGAGGCGAGCGGAGAGCUAGGAGCGCGCCGCGGAGUCUGCGCACUGUUUGGUGCUGGCAACCCCUGGUGUCAUCCCGGCUUCCCCGGCCCUGGUCGCGGCUCUGGGCUCCUCUGCCCGGAGGAAGGAGGCGCGCAGGAGGAGGAGAGCCUCUCCAGCGACGGCAGAAGAGGGGACGCGCUCUAGAAAAUGUUGGAGACUUUUCCUAGGAAGAAUGCUCAUUUUCCUUGGAGGUCCAGAUGUUACUGGCAACAGAUGCUGCCCGCAUUUUCUUGCGCUGGUGACGCACCCAGUCAGAGGUAGUGAAGUGAAAAAUAACUCAGGAGGAACUGAGCGUGCUCUUGGCAACCCUUUCGGAAAGGAGCUCGCCCAGGGUGAGACUAGGCAUCUUUGGCUGACUGUUGAACUCUUUGAAAAAAAUCCGAGUGUUUUGUUUUGUUUCUGUUCUGGUCGACAGAGCCACCUUUACGCUGAUCUCUUUAAGAAGAGAGAAUAUCUUGUUCCCAAAGGAAGACAAGGGAUCAGAAUGAACUAAAUCAUUUUCCUCCAUCCUUUCUGUCCCCACUCCCACACUGGAUUUUCACAGAGCCGGCUCACCAACACAUUUUCCUAGAACCACGGAGUUGGUGAACCACAGCGAAGAAAGUCCAGUAGUGGGGGACCAAGAGGUGAGCAGAAGAAAGUGACUGAGCAGUAAAGGUGCCGCCUUUACUGGAAGUUAGAGAUGAAGUCUUUGCACCUGGGAACAUUAGCAGCCACAGUGGAAGAACUUUGUGGUUCUGGUCUGAAGCAAGUGUAAUGAAAGAAUUCAUAAGGUUUCAGACCUGCAUAAAAAGGUAAUACAGCCUGUUUGUCCGGUUAAGGAAGAAAUGAGCAAACUGUGACAAAAGCUACCUCAUUUGGGCUCUUGUCACAGUCCUCAGGCUCCCUAGCUCUUGUCCCAUCAGCCCCCCAACGGGGGCAAACCCCAAGUCUGGAGUCCACAGAAAGCCAAGGAGAUGAAAGAGGCCUUGGAUCAGGCACAGCAGGGGCCAACAGCCGCGCAAGUGGCCUUUCACUGGCUCCUGCUACAUUUUCAUCUUUUUGAGAUGUCUGUCCCUUUCUUCUCACCGCUCCUGCCAUACCUGGAAACUGGGACUAGACAAGUCAAUUAGGGAGACACCUUUCCUCAUCCUUAGCAGUGCUGCGGCAGGCUAGCAUUUUCCAAAAGGAGCUUCAGCUAGAUGACAGAGCAAGAAAAACAAAACCAAAACCAGCACACCCUCCCACUCCCCUGCACCCCGCCAAAAAACACCCAAGGGGGGGGGGAAGACAAUGCAAAUAAUCCAAGACAGACAACUUCACAAAGUAUUGAUUUCAGAUCCCAAGACAUUCUUCAAAGCAAAGAGAGAAUUACCCCUCUAAGGACGAGAGCUUCUUGAAAUAUGAAGGAGAC